UCCACGCCCUAAACGAUGAACACUAGUCGUCGGGAUGCUAGUCAUCUCGGUGAUGCACUUAACAGAUUAAGUGUUCCGCCUGGGGAGUACGGUCGCAAGAUUAAAACUCAAAGGAAUAGGCGGGGCACGCUACAAUGGGGCGUACAGAGAGUUGCGAUACCGCGAGGUGGAGCCAAUCUCAUAAAGCGUCUCUCAGUUCGGAUAGCAGUCUGCAACUCGACUGCUUGAAGCUGGAAUCACUAGUAAUCGUAGAUCAGCAAUGCUACGGUGAAUACGUUCCCGGGUCUUGUACUCACCGCCCGUCACACCAUGGGAGUUGAUUUCACCCGAAAUUGGG
RNAcentral lists this ribosomal RNA (337 nucleotides) under uncultured bacterium. Its description in RNAcentral is "bacterial SSU rRNA". It matches the Rfam family "Bacterial small subunit ribosomal RNA", at positions 794 to 1431 of the family's 1533-position model. The record is from RNAcentral.